RNAcentral lists this small RNA (718 nucleotides) under Rattus norvegicus (Norway rat). RNAcentral's name for it is "uncharacterized LOC102547760". Lineage: Eukaryota; Metazoa; Chordata; Mammalia; Rodentia; Muridae. The record is from RNAcentral.
UCAUGGUUACACUCAUUAUUACUUCAUGAGUGCAGGUAACACCAGGCUUCUUAGAAUGAUGAAGAGGUCUAUCACAGCUGUUUUGCUAGAAGUUGUCUCUCUUGCCAAAGACACGAUUACAAGAACUUAAAGAUUUGAUAAUCUAAGUUUCUACUAUCUCAGCAAAGAUGGGACUCCCUCAACGACUACCUUGGGAACACAGCCCUGUCACUUGAACACCAAAAAGAACUCUCUUGACUUGAAUUCACAGACAUCUGCCUGCCUCUCCCUCCUGACUGCUAGAUUAAAGGUAUUUCAAUUACAGCAACACAAAGGGAGCCAGUACAACAGGAUGAUGGGUAACAGAAACUUGCACCACAUAGCUUUCAGGGUUCUGUCCGGUCCAUGACCAGCAUUCAAUAAAGACUUGCUGAUGAUGCAGAAGAGCAGGUUCAGCAGUUUUCACUGGUGAAAACCGCUGACUGUGAGAAGUGCUCUGUCCAUGCUGAGGAUGGGGACAGUCCAAGGGACCUCAUCAUUGGGCCAGAAUGGGUCUUCCACACUUAUGAACAAAAACUUCCCGUGACCUACUUUCCAUCUUGAAUCAAAAUAAAAAAGUCAUCUUGCACUCCGCAGCAUACUGUGAUAUAAAAUUCUCAGGUUUUCCGCCUACCUACACGGAGCACCACCUAAAACUCGACCAAACCUCACUACAAUUUGUGCAAUAACAUGAUGCCUC